UUUCCGUAGGUGAACCUGCGGAAGGAUCAUUAUUGUAUAACCGAGGUGCGAGGGCUGUCGCUGACCCGAAAGGUCGUGCACGCCCGAGUGCCCUCACACACAUCCAUCUCACCCCUAUGUGCACCACCGCGUGGGUCCCCCUUUGGCUUGUUCGGAGGGGGGCUUACGUUUUCACACAAACUUUGUAUGCAGUGUAGAAUGUAUUUUUUGUUUUUGCGAUCACGCAAUCAAUACAACUUUCAACAACGGAUCUCUUGGCUCUCGCAUCGAUGAAGAACGCAC
Molecule: unclassified non-coding RNA, 282 nt
Filed under: plant metagenome
Description: partial contains small subunit ribosomal RNA, internal transcribed spacer 1, and 5.8S ribosomal RNA
Rfam family: 5.8S ribosomal RNA (bases 235-282)
Source: RNAcentral